UAAAAUACCUAUUUUACCCUUUUAAUUUUAUUCAAACCCUAACACCCUAGCCUUUUCUCCCACUCCCACUCCCACAUCUAUCAGCCGACAUUUAUCCCCCCUCUCUCUCUUUCUCCCUUUCUCUCUCUCUCUCUCUCUUCAUCUCUCUCUAACUCUCGCUCUACCCACAGUCCACCGUCGCCGCCGCUGUUCCCUCCCCUCGUUGCGCCGCCGCCGCUGCUCCCCCACCUCGUUGUACCGCCGCCGCUGCUCCCCCACCUCGUUGCGCCGUUGUUGCCGCUCCGCUACCUCGCAACGCCGCCGUCGCCACUCCCCUACCUCGCAGCGUUGCCGCCGCUCCGCAAAUACACUCUCAAAUCCAACCACAAAGAUCAACACAGGUUUUGCUUUUAUUAUGCUUUUAUGAUAUGCAGGGAAUAAGAUGCGAUGAAGUGCCUAAUGAAGUUGGAUUCAUGCUACAGUAGUCUAGACUUUAUGUCACUAUAUAUUAAUAUAGAUAAUUGUAGAUAACUAUAGUCAUCUGUAGUAACAUAUAGUUAUAUGUAUGUUAUAGGUUUUUUAAUGUGUUCAUGUUUGAAGAAUAUAUGCAUGUGAUUGUAUUUUUUUUAUUUUUUGUUUGUUAGUUGAUUUAUAAUAUCAAGAUCUAAAUUG
Erythranthe guttata (spotted monkey flower) is the source of this 651-nucleotide long non-coding RNA. RefSeq lists it as uncharacterized. The record is from RefSeq and is a predicted model, not a curated record. NCBI's taxonomy places the organism in Eukaryota, Viridiplantae, Streptophyta, Magnoliopsida, Lamiales, Phrymaceae.